Small nuclear RNA from Rana temporaria (common frog), 107 nucleotides. The record is from RefSeq and is a predicted model, not a curated record. NCBI's taxonomy places the organism in Eukaryota, Metazoa, Chordata, Amphibia, Anura, Ranidae.
GUGUUUGCUUUGGCAGCACAUAAAUUAAAACUGAGACGAUACAGAGAUGAUUAGCAUGGCCCCUGCUCAAGGAUGACACGCAAAUUUGUGAAGCAUUCCAUAUUUUU